CCUACGGGAGGCAGCAGUGAGGAAUAUUGGUCAAUGGGCGCAAGCCUGAACCAGCCAAGUCGCGUGAAGGAUGACUGUCCUACGGGUUGUAAACUUCUUUUAUAAGGGAAUAAAGUGAGGCACGUGUGCCUUUUUGUAUGUACUUUAUGAAUAAGGAUCGGCAAACUCCGUGCCAGCAGCCGCGGUAAUACGGAGGAUCCGAGCGUUAUCCGGAUUUAUUGGGUUUAAAGGGUGCGUAGAUGGGUUGUUAAGUCAGUUGUGAAAGUUUGCGGCUCAACCUUAAAAUUGCAAUUGAUACUGGUAGCCUUGAGUACAGUUGAGGCAGGCGGAAUGCGUGGUGUAGCGGUGAAAUGCUUAGAUAUCACGAAGAACUCCGAUUGCGAAGGCAGCCUACUAAGCUGUAACUGACGCUGAUGCUCGAAAGCGUGGGGAUCAAACAGGAUUAGAUACCCCUGUAGUC
RNAcentral lists this ribosomal RNA (460 nucleotides) under uncultured bacterium. RNAcentral's name for it is "partial 16S ribosomal RNA". It matches the Rfam family "Bacterial small subunit ribosomal RNA", at positions 338 to 795 of the family's 1533-position model. The record is from RNAcentral.